This 661-nucleotide long non-coding RNA is filed under the name Homo sapiens (human). Its description in RNAcentral is "novel transcript". The record is from RNAcentral. Lineage: Eukaryota; Metazoa; Chordata; Mammalia; Primates; Hominidae.
AGCACUGAAUAUCCUUGACCACGAGGAAAACGGAUCAGAGACUGAAACAUGAGUUUCUUGUCUUAAAAAGUUGCAGCUGCCUGUUAAACUGAUUGUGGCUGUGCACAGGAUCUUGUGUGUUUUCACCACUUACUUUGUGGUUCCAGAGUAGAGCACUGAAUAUCCUUGACCACGAGGAAAACGGAUCAGAGACUGAAACAUGAGUUUCUUGUCUUAAAAAGUUGCAGCUGCCUGUUAAACUGAUUGUGGCUGUGCACAGGAUCUUGUGUGUUUUCACCACUUACUUUGUGGUUCCAGAGUAGAGCACUGAAUAUCCUUGACCACAAGGAAAACGGAUCAGAGACUGGAACAUGAGUUUCUUGUCUUAAAAUGUUGCAGCUGCCUGUUAAACUGAUUGUGACUGUGCACAGGAUCUUGUGUGUUUUCACCACUUACUUUGUGGUUCCAGAGUAGAGGUAAGUAACUUAGGUAAAGGGCCUCAGAUCUUUUAAGACUGGAGUUAAGCAUUUUCUGCUUAACUGUUGGAUCUGAGGACUGCAUACUGCUGAUUCAUUGCGAUAAAAGCAUGCAAGAAUAUUUCUUUCAUGAGCAAGAGAACCUAGACAAAAAGUUCUGAAAACUGCCAUGUAAAACCCAUGACACAUGAGGGGAUAGCACUCGA